Molecule: ribosomal RNA, 484 nt
Filed under: uncultured bacterium
Lineage: Bacteria
Description: partial 16S ribosomal RNA
Rfam family: Bacterial small subunit ribosomal RNA
Source: RNAcentral
AUUGAACGCUGGCGGCAUGCUUUACACAUGCAAGUCGAACGGCAGCGCGGGCUUCGGCCUGGCGGCGAGUGGCGAACGGGUGAGUAAUGCAUCGGAACGUGCCCAGUAGUGGGGGAUAGCUCGGCGAAAGCCGGAUUAAUACCGCAUACGACCUGAGGGUGAAAGCGGGGGAUCUUGGGACCUCGCGCUAUUGGAGCGGCCGAUGGCAGAUUAGCUAGUUGGUGGGGUAAAGGCCUACCAAGGCGACGAUCUGUAGCUGGUCUGAGAGGACGACCAGCCACACUGGGACUGAGACACGGCCCAGACUCCUACGGGAGGCAGCAGUGGGGAAUUUUGGACAAUGGGCGAAAGCCUGAUCCAGCAAUGCCGCGUGUGUGAUGAAGGCCUUCGGGUUGUAAAGCACUUUUGGCGGGAACGAAAAGGACUGUGCCAAUACCACGGUUCGAUGACGGUACCCGCAGAAUAAGCACCGGCUAACUACGUG